Sus scrofa (pig) is the source of this 618-nucleotide non-coding RNA. Lineage: Eukaryota; Metazoa; Chordata; Mammalia; Artiodactyla; Suidae. The record is from RefSeq and is a predicted model, not a curated record.
GAGACUUAUGAAGUCCUUCCCUAGAGUAUUGGGGAGGAAGAUUUGAGGAAGAGAAAAGAGUGAAGUUUGGAUAGAGAAGAUUGUACAACUACAGAGGAUCAACUUUCCUUCCAUGUGGAGAGAGCUUGCUGGAGAAUGAAGCUGAUCCAGAGAGAGGGUUCCAUGUUGGAAUGUGACAGCAAGAAGAGAAAUGGUCAUUGGCUGUGGCUUACCACUUUUCUUCUAAUAUCUGUAGUCAUGUUAUGAAGAACCUUGUGUGCAAGUAUGUGCUCACCCCAAACUGCAUAUCCAAACUCUGCCCACAAUACUGUAAACAGCUUCCCCUUGCUAUCCCUUAGGUCUAGGUGUUAGCACCUCUGUGGUGCAGUCAACCUUGAAGGUUUGGGCAAGAGGACUGUAGAAGCUUUGGAAGUCUAUCUGGGGAAGGUGUCCUAGGGUCCUUGUCUUGGGCUGGUUAUGAAAUUCAACAAGAUACAUCCUAUAGGCCUUGCAGACUCAUUACCCUGUGAGAAGGGGAUGAAAGGGGGAUAAAGUGGGCUGUCUAAAGUGUAAGAUUCAUCUGGCCAGAUUGCUUCUGUAGACAUCAUCAAGGGUGACUUCAUCCUUUUCACUACUGGU